Cercocebus atys (sooty mangabey) is the source of this 1659-nucleotide RNA transcript. It is a transcript of the gene named acidic (leucine-rich) nuclear phosphoprotein 32 family, member B, with no coding region annotated. Lineage: Eukaryota; Metazoa; Chordata; Mammalia; Primates; Cercopithecidae. The transcript is spliced from 8 exons. The record is from RefSeq and is a predicted model, not a curated record.
CCGGAGCUCGCGAUGGGCGCCGGCCCGGCCGAGGGCAGCGGCUGUGGGGCGAGGAGGGGGCUUUUUUCCUUUGAAGGGAGCGAGAAGCCCCCUCGGGCGCUUGGGCGGGCGCGGCCUGGCGCGCAGAGCGGGGGAGGGGCGGGCCAGGGCGGCGGAGGUGGCGCAACCGCCGCCCCUCCCGAGGCCAAGUUUGAAAAAAGGACGCGGUUCCCGCCAUUUUUCAAGCCUAAAAAUAAAACUUUCUCUCUUGUUUCCUCGCUCCCUCUUUGCCCUCGGCCUUGCCCACUCCGACCUCCCAGAGGCAGCCCGGGUCGACCGGGGCCAACCGUUGUGGCGACGGCUUCGCCCUUCCCCCUGCGCCGCGGCGGCGGAGCCCGGGGCCCCUGCCCCGGGAGGAUGGCCCCUCCGUGUGGGCGGGCGGCGGCUCCUCACGCCAGCCGGGGCGCGCCACAGGCCGCCGCAGCGCCAUGUUGGCGGGUGCCCGUCUCCCUCCGCCUGGUUCGAGAACUUGUCUUGGACAAUUGCAAAUCAAAUGAUGGAAAAAUUGAGGGCUUAACAGCUGAAUUUGUGAACUUAGAGUUCCUCAGUUUAAUAAAUGUAGGCUUGAUCUCAGUUUCAAAUCUCCCCAAGCUGCCUAAAUUGAAAAAGCUUGAACUCAGUGAAAAUAGAAUCUUUGGAGGUCUGGACAUGUUAGCUGAAAAACUUCCAAAUCUCACACAUCUAAACUUAAGUGGAAAUAAACUGAAAGAUAUCAGCACCUUGGAACCUUUGAAAAAGUUAGAAUGUCUGAAAAGCCUGGACCUCUUUAACUGUGAGGUUACUAACCUGAAUGACUACCGAGAGAGUGUCUUCAAGCUCCUGCCCCAGCUUACCUACUUGGAUGGCUAUGACCGAGAGGACCAGGAAGCACCUGACUCAGAUGCCGAGGUGGAUGGUGUGGAUGAAGAGGAGGAAGAUGAAGAUGGAGCGGCUGCCAUGACUGGACGGCUUUCUGGUUUACUACUCGAGUCAAAGAGGUCACUUCUGGAUAAGGAGAAGAUGAGGAAGAUGAGGAGGAUGAGGAUGGUGAAGAAGAGGAGUUUGAUGAAGAAGAUGAUGAAGAUGAAGAUGUAGAAGGGGAUGAGGAUGACGAUGAAGUCAGUGAGGAGGAAGAAGAAUUUGGACUUGAUGAAGAAGAUGAAGAUGAGGAUGAAGAUGAAGAGGAGGAAGAAGGCGGGAAAGGUGAAAAGAGGAAGAGAGAAACAGAUGAUGAAGGAGAUGAUGAUUAAGACCCCAGAUGACCUGCAGAAACAGAACUGUUCAGUAUUGGUUGGACUGCUCAUGGAUUUGGUAGCUGUUUAAAAAAAAAAAAAAAAAAGGUAGCUGUGAUACAAACCCCAGGACACCCACCCACCCAAAGAGCCAAAGAAUAGUUCCUGUGACAUUCCGACUUCCUUCCAUGUAGUCCCUCUUGGGUAAUCUACCACCAAGUUUGUGGACUUCACCCCAACAAAAUUGUAAGCGUUGUUAGGUUUUUGUGUAAGACUCUUGCUAUAGCGUGGAUAGCUGUGAUUGGUGAGUCUACCGUCUGUGGCUACCAGUUACACUGAGAUUGUAACAGCAUUUUUACUUUCUGUACAACAAAAAAGCUUUGUAAAUAAAAUCUUAACAUUUUGGGUC